Molecule: non-coding RNA, 916 nt
Organism: Onychostoma macrolepis
Lineage: Eukaryota; Metazoa; Chordata; Actinopteri; Cypriniformes; Cyprinidae
Source: the annotation of a RefSeq genome assembly
AAGCACAUCAGAGUUUGUCAUUUCAUUCCAUCAUGCUGCUCUGUGCAGUUGUAAUAUUUUCAGUACUUGCAGGAGACUCUCUUGGUGAUCUAAUAACGUCUCGUGAUUCUGAAAAACAAGCUCAAGAUGGUAACAGUGUUACUCUCUCCUGCAACUACACUGGUGCUGUUUAUAAUCUACUGUGGUAUCGUCAGUAUCAAACAUCCAAACCAGAACUCCUUCUCUCCAUGACUGAAUCUGGAGAACCAAUUAAAGAAGAUCCAUCCGCCCACUGGUUAUCUGCUAAAGCUGACAAACUCACAAAACUCAUGGAACUGGAAAUCAGCCCUGCUAAAGUAUCAGACUCUGCACAGUAUUACUGUGCCCUGCGGCCCACAGUGACGAGAAACCCUUUUCCUCUGCACAAAAUCUUUUUGCAUAUUACUCGUGCUAGUCAUUCAUUGAUGUCUAACGUGCACAUGUAAUCUAUACUAUGUAUUAUUCCUGUGACUGCAUCAGCCAUCAGUAACAGCAUCUCUUCAUGAGUCCACAAGGAUCAAUACAACACAUAUUUCCAUAGAUAGGUGGAGCUUAAUGUGGAAUAGAGCAGAAGAGCUCAAAGAGACGUGAUACACCUACUUACAGAUCAUUAAAUUCAAACUACAUACAACGAUGAUCAUCAUCUGCUCUGUUUUGACAUUUGUCUUGAGUUUGAGUUAUGGUAAACCACAAACUUUUUACACCUUUUAUUAAUUGUAUAUUAUUAUAUUAAUGUAAAGCUUUAUAAUAUUGAUAACACUGGAUUGUUCAUCUACAUUGCAGGUGAAGCUAAUAAGAGUCCUGUCAGUUCAGAUAAAGCAUCUGUGUCUUUAAACGAAGGCAGUAAUGCUACUCUGUCCUGUACAUUUGAUGAAUCAGCUUACCGUCUCCACUGGUA